GGCAGUUGGGUGUUUCUUGGAAAGAUCACUCCCCGUUGCUUUUCCCAUCUUUGCUUUUCCCAUCCUUUGCUUUUCCCAUCCUUCGCUCCUCCAUCCGCGGCCGUUACCCCAGCCCUCGAGCACCAGAAAUAGAAACUCGGAGGCUGGCGUCGAGGCUAGACAUGGACUCCGCGCCUGGCCCCUUCCAGAUCCCAGUUUUCUAAAGUGACUUCGCACCAAAGUCCGGUCUUUUAUGAACUUGAAACACAUCGGCUAGGUCUUCAUCCUCACCUGCACUGGAAUUACCUACUUAAGAAAAACAAACUAAUGAUACACAAAGAAGCACUUAUGUAUGUAUUUAAACACUUGCUGGGAUCCUUCUGAAAACUACAGUUUGAAUUUUACGUUUCCGGUUUAGUUUAAAUUGUAUUGUUUACUUGUAUGUAUUAGCUUAAAUAAAAUAAUAGUCAUUUCAAAUGUUUCUCAGAGACAACAGGGUAAGUAAAAAAUAGUUGUGUUAUGACAUCUGUGAAUAUAAAAGUUAUUUGUGGCCCAUUAUAUUUUAUUUUUCAAGUUCAAACGUAUUUCAAAUAUGAAACGCAUUAUCAUAAUCUCCAUAUUGAUUAGUUGUCCAAGUUGAAAAGUGUUUACAAUUUUAAUUUUUUCCAGAUGAUUAUUACUCUGUUUUCAGGCUAUAAAUUUCAUCUCAUGUAAUUUUCUUUGUAGAACUUUGACAUAGCAGUUAACAUCAAGUGGUUGUACUACAAUUUUUGCUUAUUUUGUUUUUCAACUGCAUUGGGUCCUGUUAUAAGUGCAUAUACAUCUGGAAUGCUUCCAUCUUUAAAUUAAAAGCACUUUAUCACAUCUGAAGGUUCUCUGCAGAGAGUCACUUUCUGACUGCUUAGGAACUUGAUAAGCCAAAUAGUAUUCCAUCACUGUAGGUAAACAGUUCUGGGAAAGAAAAAUCUACAGUCUUUGACAAUUCUUCCUGUCAAUUGUUUGUACCUCAUUCUAGAAAUUACAUAUCUUCAUGCCGGAAACACUAUUUGGAUGCGUGUGGAUGAUUCUGAAAAUUGAUAUAGUCUGAAGGAUGUAUAUGUACAUUUAUAUAUAGA
RNAcentral lists this long non-coding RNA (1094 nucleotides) under Homo sapiens (human). RNAcentral's name for it is "HSALNT0399951". Lineage: Eukaryota; Metazoa; Chordata; Mammalia; Primates; Hominidae. The record is from RNAcentral.